This is a long non-coding RNA of Apus apus (common swift), 2717 nucleotides long. RefSeq lists it as uncharacterized. The record is from RefSeq and is a predicted model, not a curated record. The transcript has 3 exons. NCBI's taxonomy places the organism in Eukaryota, Metazoa, Chordata, Aves, Apodiformes, Apodidae.
UCAAGCAAGCAUGGAAGUAGAAUGGGCAGAACUACACGGUGCAAUCGAGAAUUAAGUGUCAAAGGACAGUGUGAGCCUCCUGAGAGAGGUGGAGUGUAGAAUUUCAAGAAAAAUGGUCCCUCUUGUCCCAUUCUCUAUGUCUCCUGUGGCCCAAGGUGUCUUGGAAAUUACCAGGCUGUUCUCCAGGCAAAAGGAAGAUGGGAGCUUGAACCUUUGCAGGCUUGGGAUGGAUAGAAGUCCAGGUCUGCCUCUCAGCAGAUGCUUUAACCACUCAGCUGAAGCUAAUAAAAGGGUUUGGACACUUUCUUUGACCCUUGCUUAAGGUGGUUAAAUUUUCUACACUUAAAUGAUUUGCAACUAAGGAUACGAAAUAACAUCUUCCAGAAGCUGAAAUGCAAGACAUUUCUUGGGCAUUUCCCAUUGCCUGGCUCCAGAACUGGCUUAGUUUGCUCUGAGCAGUUAUGGCCAUACCAAAAUCCUUUCAUGAACUUGGAAUGAGGAACCUACUUCUCACAUCUUUCGAGCUGCUCACAGAUUUUAUAUACUGCAUGGCGACACAGUUCUUUUGGAAGUAUAAUCAUGAGCUCUUUCCUUGAUGCAUAUCAGCUGAAGCUCCAGGGGAUAGUUGUGCCACUUUAAGGACUCAAGGGGACCUGAACACACUUGUGAAGUCUGCAUUUGGUUUCUUCGGAGAGAAAGCCUCAAAGAUUAUUUUUGAAGUUCCUCUUGGCUGGUGACCAGCAUGUCACCAAGCAAUUAAAGUCUUGCUGUGUAAUUUUCACAUGCUAAAAUAAUCAGUCUAGUUCAAUGGUGCUGCAACAAUUCAGACACUUCGAUCCUAGUCUUCAGAGCUUGAGAAACCUUAGCUCGUAUUGCUUCACUUUGGACUCCAGGUUUUGUCCUCUGACUGACAGAAAGAGGCAAGCAGGGGCUUGCUCCUUUUCCACUCUCAGCUACUCAUGAGUGCAGAGACUACCUUUGAUUCCCGAUGUGAGUCUACUGCUGCCGUUGUGUAUAAUACAAUAAACUGUUUACAUAGCAGCCUUUUGUUACAGGUUUUAAAUCUUCUCAGGCUGCCAGUGUGAGGUGGAGGCUGCCAGCUGGCAGACAGAGAGGUGCUUGUGCUUCAACUGUUGGAGGUAAUUAACAGCCCAAACUGUCAGAAGGUGACAGCUGGCAGAAAGUUCCUGCCCUGGGGUCACAGCUGGAUUCCGGCAACUAGUUCCUUGAUUUACCAGUAAAAUUAAUAACAUAAGUAAUAUCGGUAUUAAAUUAUCAAACAAGCGGGACUGGGCUCAAGUUGUAUUUUCUACCCGCAAACCAACUGGCAAAGAAAAUUAGUAUUAAUUAUUUAAAGCAAAUAAUUAAGCUUAACUCACUUUUGGAGAAGAAAAACAAUCCCCCCAAACCUGGUCCACUAAAAAUUUGGUGGCCAUAAAUAUUUGGAUGGUUGCAGACCAUAAUACUGUUGGUUCACACUUCCUGAAAUUGUAGAAAAUUAAGAUAAUAUCUAGUAUUAGUAAUCUGGACUUGGGUUAUUAGCCACAAAUUUUAAUGUAAGUGCUAUACUCAAAACGUCACGUUAGAUUUAAAUUUGCUGCAAAUAACUCGUUAUUAAUAGAAAUAUAGAAAUUGUUAAUAUUGCUGAAAUAAUUACAUACUUAAUUUUAAAUAUAUUACUAAUUCAUUAGAGCAUUGAAGCAUGGACUUAGCCACAACUUUAACCAAGAGCAUAAAUACAGUGGAGUCAGCAAGGCAUAAAUGGUCCUUUUUUAAACUGAAGGACACGAUAUUGGUUCUCAGCACUUUCAGUUCAUGAGAGUGAAAAUGCUACAUGUUUGGUCAGCUGCAUAUCAGGACAUGCUAGUAUCUGUGGAUCUUUGUCCUUUGAAAUUAUAGUAUCUGAUGACAAGAACACUCCCAAUACAGUUAAUGCUCAUAUGUCUUGCAAUAUACUUCCCAAAGGAGUUUCAUUUCAUAAUGUUAAAUAUAUUAUUUUGUAACUUUGAGGUUCUUCAGGAUGGACCAAAGAACUUCCUGUUUGAGCUGGACGUGAAAGGCAACAGAUCUAAUGCUCACUCAGGGCUCCUCCUUCUCUGCUCCUCAGUGGUCUGCUCCAUGUGUGUCUGUGCAAGAAUUCCUGACUCUAUCAGAUCUCCAGGAGUCUUUAAGGAAAACAGAUUAGAGAGGUUUACAGUUUUUGCUCUACAUAACCUCUGGUAUUUUUUAAAAAGUGACAAAUGUCACAAGAACAUCUCAUAGAAGUUAUAUUUGAUAAUAUGUAUUCUUAAUUUUCUCUGUUUAAUGAGCUCUUACCCAAUGUGCCAGAGUUUUAGCCUUGGGGAAAAAAGAUGGUAGAGCAACAGAAACCCAAGGCCACAGACCGUUGCAUGAUAAAGAAACCAAAACAAAGUUAUUUUAAAAAAAUACUAUAGAAUCAAUCUAAAUUCAAGAACAGGGGCUUUAGCAAUUAUUUUCUUGAUAACAAUGCUUAUUGGCCAAGAAGGUAUGCUUUUUGCAGAAAACAAUUCCUUACAUUUUGACCCGCCUGAUAUAGUGAAAAGUCUUUUUAUAUCAGCAUGUCUUUUCUCUUUAUGAUAUCCUGGAGCUGUCUUCAUCUUCUGUGGUGGUGUAAAUUGGCUUCUGGGAAGCUACAAUGAUUGAUGUUAGUUGAACAUUUGUCUGAGAAGGUAAUUUGUAAAGAACUCACAGUCACA